UUUCCCCCUCCUUAAUGGU
RNAcentral lists this transfer RNA (19 nucleotides) under Acrocephalus aequinoctialis pistor. Its description in RNAcentral is "partial tRNA-Lys". Lineage: Eukaryota; Metazoa; Chordata; Aves; Passeriformes; Sylviidae. The record is from RNAcentral.